CGUAGGUGAACCUGCGGAGGGAUCAUUGCUGGAACGCGCCCCAGGCGCACCCAGAAACCCUUUGUGAACUUAUACCUUUUGUUGCCUCGGCGCAUGCUGGCCUCUAGUAGGCCCCUCACCCCGGUGAGGAGAAGGCACGCCGGCGGCCAAGUUAACUCUUGUUUUUACACUGAAACUCUGAGAAAAAAACACAAAUGAAUCAAAACUUUCAACAACGGAUCUCUUGGUUCUGGCAUCGAUGAAGAACGCAGCGAAAUGCGAUAAGUAAUGUGAAUUGCAGAAUUCAGUGAAUCAUCGAAUCUUUGAACGCACAUUGCGCCCUCUGGUAUUCCGGAGGGCAUGCCUGUUCGAGCGUCAUUUCAACCCUCAAGCAUUGCUUGGUGUUGGGGCACUGCUUCUAACGAAGCAGGCCCUGAAAUCUAGUGGCGAGCUCGCCAGGACCCCGAGCGCAGUAGUUAAACCCUCGCUCUGGAAGGCCCUGGCGGUGCCCUGCCGUUAAACCCCCAACUUUUGAAAAUUUGACCUCGGAUCAGGUAGGAAUACCCGCUGAACUUA
This 555-nucleotide ribosomal RNA is filed under the name Diaporthe phaseolorum. RNAcentral's name for it is "eukaryotic LSU rRNA". The stretch from base 204 to 357 matches the Rfam family "5.8S ribosomal RNA". Lineage: Eukaryota; Fungi; Ascomycota; Sordariomycetes; Diaporthales; Diaporthaceae. The record is from RNAcentral.